GACGAACGCUGGCGGCGUGCUUAACACAUGCAAGUCGAACGGAAAGGCCCUGCUUUUGUGGGGUGCUCGAGUGGCGAAAGGGUGAGUAACACGUGAGUAACCUGCCCUUUACUUUGGGAUAACUUCAUGAAACUGGGGCUAAUACCGGAUAUGAGCUCCUGCUACAUGGUUUUUGUUGUAAAAUUUCGGCGUUUGGGGAUUGACUCGGGGCUUAGCAGCUUGUUGGUUGGGUAGUGGCGUACCAAGGCUUUGACGGGUAGCCGGAAUGAGAGGGUGACCGGCCACAUUGGGAGUGAGAUACGGCCCAGAGUGCUACGGGGGGCAGCAGUGGGGAAUAUUGCACAAUGGGCGGAAGCCUGAUGCAGCAACGCCGCGUGCGGGAUGACGGCCUUCGGGUUGUAACCCGCUUUAGACUGUGAAGAAGAGUGAGUGACGGUAAUGGGUAAAGAAGCACCGGCUAACUACGUG
Molecule: ribosomal RNA, 468 nt
Filed under: uncultured bacterium
Lineage: Bacteria
Description: partial 16S ribosomal RNA
Rfam family: Bacterial small subunit ribosomal RNA
Source: RNAcentral